CUCUGGUCAGGCAAGCUCAACGAUUGUCAUUCAAAAUGUCACAGUUUCCGACUUCGCAAAGUACCGCUGCGUGGCUACUGGAAGAAAUAAAACCUUUGAGAUGAGUUUCACUGUGGUUGCAACUUGGGAUCACAAAUGGUUUAUUAUCUACAUAGCUGGAGGAACAUCUGCUGCUGUUUUACUGUUAGUUUUCCUACUCAUUUUCUGCAUCACCACUGCUUAUCGCAAAAAGAAGAAGAGGAAGAGGAUCACAGAGGCCUUAUUUAAUGCUUUGUAUUGUACUCAGGAUGAGCCUGGUAACAAUUAUGCAGAACACAAUUAUCACACCACAUGGGACAUAGAAGGAGGAAAAGAAGAGUCAUCACUCAGGCCGGCACAGGAGAUUUAUGUGAACUGCAUAACCCUAAGAAAUGACAAUUAGCUUCUUUCUUGUGAAUGACGUAACCCCAGUUCAGUCCAUGUAUUUGCAUGUUGGACUUGAUUUGUUUUGCACAGGUGAGCUGCAGAAGGUUAAACCAGAAGGUUAAACUGGCUGCCAAGCAUGGCCCAGGCUGCCCUGGCCAGACAGCACAGGUACCCAAGCCAGUCAGGGUGCAUCUGCAUUAUGAGACUGUCUGCAGCACUAACGCACCCUUUGAUUCAUAUGUACAAGUGAAGAUUAUUGGUACUUCUAAAAUUUAAACAUUUUUACCCUGUAAGUGCACUUACAGGUAAUAAUUUUAGAACAACUAUGCAGAACAAAGCAGUAUAUGUUUAAAUUACAUUCAUUUCGUUGGAGAAAAAAAUGUUUGAGAAGUCUGUGUGGCAAGGUGAGAAAGAAAAUGUGUUCAACGUUCUCUGUAUUCAUGACUUUCAAAUCUUAAAAUUGAGAGCAUUAUAGAAUAAAAAAAUGUCCAUGAUUUUCCGCA
This 908-nucleotide long non-coding RNA is filed under the name Chrysolophus pictus (golden pheasant). Its description in RNAcentral is "lncRNA (ENSCPIG00010012202.1)". Lineage: Eukaryota; Metazoa; Chordata; Aves; Galliformes; Phasianidae. The record is from RNAcentral.